RNAcentral lists this ribosomal RNA (467 nucleotides) under uncultured bacterium. RNAcentral's name for it is "partial 16S ribosomal RNA". It matches the Rfam family "Bacterial small subunit ribosomal RNA", at positions 28 to 506 of the family's 1533-position model. The record is from RNAcentral.
GGCGAACGCUGGCGGCGUGCUUAACACAUGCAAGUCGAACGGAAAGGCCCUGCUUUUGUGGGGUGCUCGAGUGGCGAACGGGUGAGUAACACGUGAGUAACCUGCCCUUGACUUUGGGAUAACUUCAGGAAACUGGGGCUAAUACCGGAUAGGAGCUCCUGCUGCAUGGUGGGGGUUGGAAAGUUUCGGCGGUUGGGGAUGGACUCGCGGCUUAUCAGCUUGUUGGUGGGGUAGUGGCUUACCAAGGCUUUGACGGGUAGCCGGCCUGAGAGGGUGACCGGCCACAUUGGGACUGAGAUACGGCCCAGACUCCUACGGGAGGCAGCAGUGGGGAAUAUUGCACAAUGGGCGGAAGCCUGAUGCAGCAACGCCGCGUGCGGGAUGACGGCCUUCGGGUUGUAAACCGCUUUCGCCUGUGACGAAGCGUGAGUGACGGUAAUGGGUAAAGAAGCACCGGCUAACUACGU